Molecule: ribosomal RNA, 399 nt
Filed under: uncultured bacterium
Lineage: Bacteria
Description: bacterial SSU rRNA
Rfam family: Bacterial small subunit ribosomal RNA
Source: RNAcentral
AGAGUUUGAUCCUGGCUCAGAGUGAACGCUGGCGGCGUGGAUUAGGCAUGCAAGUCGCGCGAUCCGUCGCAAGACGGAUAGCGGCAAACGGGUGAGUAACACGUUGGUAACCUGCCCUGGAGUCCGGGAUAACACUGCGAAAGCGGCGCUAAUACCGGAUACGUCUCCGAAACCGCAUGGUUUUGGAGGGAAAGGUGGCGCUCCGGACCGCAAGGAAUGGAGCUAUUACUCUAGGAGGGACCUGCGGCCCAUCAGCUAGUUGGUAGGGUAACGGCCUACCAAGGCGAUUGACGGGUAACUGGCCUGAGAGGGUGGUCAGUCACACUGGGACUGAGACACUGCCCAGACUCCUACGGGAGGCUGCAGUCGAGAAUCUUUCGCAAUGGGGGAAACCCUGAC